This 741-nucleotide long non-coding RNA is filed under the name Macaca mulatta (Rhesus monkey). Its description in RNAcentral is "lncRNA (ENSMMUG00000043816.2)". The record is from RNAcentral. Lineage: Eukaryota; Metazoa; Chordata; Mammalia; Primates; Cercopithecidae.
AAUUAGAGUCAUUCUUCAGGUAGAAACGAACCUUCCUUGACUUCAUAAAUUAUCAGAUGUCUGGAAUUCUGAAUUUUAUCCCUUCAAGUCCCUCCACCAGAACUUCCCAGCACGUCCAUUUUCUUCUACAGCGUGAGGGAAGGGUCAGGUUUAGCAACAUUGUCUUGGCAAACAGAUUAGCCCUCUCCAUUUAGGAAGGAGGAAGGAGGCUGCUCUCGCGGCCACAUUUCCUGGAAGACUGCCGUACUGAGUUCCACGUCCCAGGAAACUCCGCAGUCCUGAGCAAAUGGAAUGGCUGGUCACCUGUUCCUGCUCUGGUGGGCACUCUCAUCUCAUGCGCUCCACUCAGGCUGUCUCUGAGCCAACGCAGUGCCAAUCUUUCCAGGUGAAUACAAGACAACCAGCCCUCCCUGCAAUUGGCUGAGCUAGUGUAUUGGUAAUACGGGCCGAAGACUGUAAUCUCUUUCUAGAAACACCUGGCUGGUGACAGACACACAGGAAGAAAAAUGGAAUAAACACAACUAGCUUCCCGUCAAGUUCUGGUGGGGGCCACCCUCACCACUUCAACCGAGAAGACACAGUUUCCUCCCAGAAAGUUCUGGGGGGUAGAGGAUUGACUAUCCUGGACCUUGGAACCACCGGCUACCUCGCACCUCUUUCCUGCACCCUUAAGAAACGUUUCUGUUCGGUUUCCAUUUCCUUUUGGAUAAAUGCCUUGGUUUUAAUGCUAAUGAUUCAACG